UGUCCUCGUCUUAGGUUGAGUCGGAUUUUAUGAGACGCCACCUGCGGUGCUAGCCGACCCCUGCCUCAGCAAACUCCCGUUUCGACUUUGAGCCAGAAACUUAAGAUCACCCCGAGCGCCCGAAGGAUCAGCCGGCGGCUUCGCGCCCCGCCUCGGCCUUCGCGGGGAUUUGCGGCCUAAAUGGGGUCACGGGCCCGUAAAUAGGCGACUGAUUAUCCCGAGUACAGCGGAGACAUGAGUUUUGAGGAUGAAUGUUUGUAAUAAAUCUUGUCAACGAGGAUGACUGAAACACAGUGGGAAAACAACUGCAUGUAAUGAGGUAACUGCCUGCCAAUGAAAGUUCUAAUCUUCAACUGUGGUGUUUAAAAAUUCUUCAUCUCCUCAAAAGUGUGGCAUUUGACAUUUUGGAAGGAAAGUGAAGAAUCAGUCAAGAAGACAUGAAGCAAAUGACCAAAAUUAAUGUUUUAUUGACAUUGAUCAUCUCACAAUAAAUUAUGUAGAAAAAUACAUGUUUCAGUACUUUUAAUUGCUGGGUAAUAGUCCUUUUAAAAUACAUUAAAUCUUUAAAACAACAUUCCCAUAUUUAGCCAU
Talpa occidentalis (Iberian mole) is the source of this 591-nucleotide long non-coding RNA. RefSeq lists it as uncharacterized. The transcript has 4 exons. The record is from RefSeq and is a predicted model, not a curated record. NCBI's taxonomy places the organism in Eukaryota, Metazoa, Chordata, Mammalia, Eulipotyphla, Talpidae.